RNAcentral lists this ribosomal RNA (232 nucleotides) under uncultured bacterium. RNAcentral's name for it is "partial 16S ribosomal RNA". It matches the Rfam family "Bacterial small subunit ribosomal RNA", at positions 15 to 237 of the family's 1533-position model. The record is from RNAcentral.
GUUCAUGGGCUCAGGAUGAACGCUAGCGACAGGCUUAACACAUGCAAGUCGAGGGGCAGCAUGAUUUGUAGCAAUACAGAUUGAUGGCGACCGGCGCACGGGUGAGUAACGCGUAUGCAACUUACCUAUCAGAGGGGGAUAGCCCGGCGAAAGUCGGAUUAAUACCCCAUAAACAGGGGUCCCGCAUGGGAAUAUUUGUUAAAGAUUCAUCGCUGAUGGAUAGGCAUGCGUU